GACGAACGCUGGCGGCGUGCCUAAUACAUGCAAGUCGAACGAACUCUGGUAUUGAUUGGUGCUUGCAUCAUGAUUUACAUUUGAGUGAGUGGCGAACUGGUGAGUAACACGUGGGGAACCUGCCCAGAAGCGGGGGAUAACACCUGGAAACAGAUGCUAAUACCGCAUAACAACUUGGACCGCAUGGUCCGAGUUUGAAAGAUGGCUUCGGCUAUCACUUUUGGAUGGUCCCGCGGCGUAUUAGCUAGAUGGUGAGGUAACGGCUCACCAUGGCAAUGAUACGUAGCCGACCUGAGAGGGUAAUCGGCCACAUUGGGACUGAGACACGGCCCAAACUCCUACGGGAGGCAGCAGUAGGGAAUCUUCCACAAUGGACGAAAGUCUGACGGAGCAACGCCGCGUGAGUGAAGAAGGGUUUCGGCUCGUAAAACUCUGUUGUUAAAGAAGAACAUAUCUGAGAGUAACUGUUCAGGUAUUGACGGUAUUUAACCAGAAAGCCACGGCUAACUACGUGCCAGCAGCCGCGGUAAUACGUAGGUGGCAAGCGUUGUCCGGAUUUAUUGGGCGUAAAGCGAGCGCAGGCGGUUUUUUAAGUCUGAUGUGAAAGCCUUCGGCUCAACCGAAGAAGUGCAUCGGAAACUGGGAAACUUGAGUGCAGAAGAGGACAGUGGAACUCCAUGUGUAGCGGUGAAAUGCGUAGAUAUAUGGAAGAACACCAGUGGCGAAGGCGGCUGUCUGGUCUGUAACUGACGCUGAGGCUCGAAAGUAUGGGUAGCAAACAGGAUUAGAUACCCUGGUAGUCCAUACCGUAAACGAUGAAUGCUAAGUGUUGGAGGGUUUCCGCCCUUCAGUGCUGCAGCUAACGCAUUAAGCAUUCCGCCUGGGGAGUACGGCCGCAAGGCUGAAACUCAAAGGAAUUGACGGGGGCCCGCACAAGCGGUGGAGCAUGUGGUUUAAUUCGAAGCUACGCGAAGAACCUUACCAGGUCUUGACAUACUAUGCAAAUCUAAGAGAUUAGACGUUCCCUUCGGGGACAUGGAUACAGGUGGUGCAUGGUUGUCGUCAGCUCGUGUCGUGAGAUGUUGGGUUAAGUCCCGCAACGAGCGCAACCCUUAUUAUCAGUUGCCAGCAUUAAGUUGGGCACUCUGGUGAGACUGCCGGUGACAAACCGGAGGAAGGUGGGGAUGACGUCAAAUCAUCAUGCCCCUUAUGACCUGGGCUACACACGUGCUACAAUGGAUGGUACAACGAGUUGCGAACUCGCGAGAGUAAGCUAAUCUCUUAAAGCCAUUCUCAGUUCGGAUUGUAGGCUGCAACUCGCCUACAUGAAGUCGGAAUCGCUAGUAAUCGCGGAUCAGCAUGCCGCGGUGAAUACGUUCCCGGGCCUUGUACACACCGCCCGUCACACCAUGAGAGUUUGUAACACCCAAAGUCGGUGGGGUAACCUUUUAGGAACCAGCCGCCUAAGGUGGGACAGAUGAUUAGGGUG
Molecule: ribosomal RNA, 1489 nt
Filed under: Lactiplantibacillus plantarum
Lineage: Bacteria; Bacillati; Bacillota; Bacilli; Lactobacillales; Lactobacillaceae
Description: bacterial SSU rRNA
Rfam family: Bacterial small subunit ribosomal RNA
Source: RNAcentral